UCUUUGUAGUAAUACAAGGCAUACGGCUCAGUAACGCGUAGUCAACCUACCCUAUGGACAAGAAUAAUCUCGGGAAACUGAGCAUAAUUCUUGAUAGAUCAUAAUGCCUGGAAUGGUUUAUGGUUAAAAUGAUUCGUCGCCAUAGGAUGGGACUGCGGCCUAUCAGCUUGUUGGUGAGGUAAUGGCCCACCAAGGCGAUUACAGGUACGGGCUCUGAGAGGAGAAGCCCGGAGAUGGGUACUGAGACAAGGACCCAGGCCCCAUGGGGCGCAGCAGGCGAGAAAACUUUGCAAUGUGCGAAAGCACGACAAGGUUAGUCCGAGUGAUCUCUGCUAAAGAGAUCUUUUGCUAGUCAUAAAACCACUAGUGAAUAAGGGGUGGGCAAGUUCUGGUGUCAGCCGCCGCGGUAAAACCAGCACCUCAAGUGGUCAGGAUGAUUAUUGGGCCUAAAGCAUCCGUAGCCGGCUCUGUAAGUUUUCGGUUAAAUCUAUGCGCUCAACGUAUGGGCUGCCGAAAAUACUGUAGAGAUAGGGAGUGGGAGAGGUA
This 546-nucleotide ribosomal RNA is filed under the name uncultured archaeon. Its description in RNAcentral is "bacterial SSU rRNA". It matches the Rfam family "Archaeal small subunit ribosomal RNA", at positions 58 to 610 of the family's 1478-position model. The record is from RNAcentral.